This 4441-nucleotide long non-coding RNA is filed under the name Homo sapiens (human). RNAcentral's name for it is "HSALNT0089521". Lineage: Eukaryota; Metazoa; Chordata; Mammalia; Primates; Hominidae. The record is from RNAcentral.
GGAGGGGUGAAUAGAAAGUAGGCAGGCUUCUGGGUGGAUGGGGCCCAGCACCCACAGCCUAGGCUGGCUGCCUGAGAGUAGCGAGUGACAGGUAAGGGCUCUGAACCUUCCUGCGUGCUACCCAAGGAGUGCCUAGGGCUACCAGGAGGCCCAGGGAGGAACCUUGAGACCUGAGAAAGGCUUUUCUUCCCCGAGAGGACCACUGCUCAGGCUCAGAGGCCAUGGGGUGAAGUGCACAAAAAAGUGGGCGUCCAGCCAUGCUCUAAGUCCCCCGAAGAUGAAGACCAGGGAGCAGCUUCCUCCAAUGAAGCAGCAGCAAUCAGAGGACCAGGAGGCUGAAGCCCUGAGCCCAGCCAGAGGCAGGAUCAGCCAAGUCUGGGACAGGCUUCAAUUAUUUUAGGCAGAGCUUCUGGUUCCUGGGCCUUCAGACUUGGACUAGAACUUCACUACCAGCUUUCCUGGGUCUCCAGCUUGCAGAGAGCAGAUCGCAGAACUUCUUAGCCUCCAUAAUCACAAGAACGUGUUUGCUUCCCCUUCCACCAUGAUUGUAAGUUUCCUGAGGCCUCCCCAGUCCUGCAGAACUGCUUUGAAGAAGACCACUGCGUCGGUAUUUGUGAAAUGUUUUGAGCCUCUGGAUUUAAAUAAGGUGAAAUAUAAAGGAUCCUUUUCACUACUGGGCACGCCUAACUGCAUGUCUUCUAAACACUGCUUGUGAUGGUCAUUCAUACCAAAGGACGGAAACAGAAAGCACAGAUCACAAAAUCCUCUGGCCAAAUGGGGAAUCUGACCCUGAAACGAAGGAGCAGUGUCAAUGUCCUGAGCCCCACUGCCAGCCUCAGCUCUAUGAGAAAGGUGGCAGAGAGGUGGCAAGGAGGCACACACAAAAGACUGGUGUUUGUCCUCUCCAUGCUUCUGCCAAAUCUUAUAACCUCCCGUCCCCGACUGGCAAGCCAAAUAGUAGCACCAUCCCUACAGGUUACAUUAUACCCUGAAAUUAACAUUACAAAUCAAACCACUUAGUUUUAAAGUGCUUUUCACAAGCCUACUAACUUAAUCCAUGACUAGUGCUAUGGGGGUUGUUAAUAGGUUCUCACAUCUCCCCAAAACAGCCCUAUUUAAGACCCCUCCUCCAUUACCCACACACCAGCCUGCCUUCCUCACUCAGGGUGAGGACCCACAGUGAACGACAGUAGUAUUCUCCUCUCUCUUCUGUUGACCUAGAUUGACCUGAGUGGGGGUUUUAAGACUGAUCUCUCUUCCCUCUUCUCAUACCAAGUCUAAAUUCCACUGCUGGGCUUUCCCUGCCUGCUGUGAUUUGACUCUACCUUUCUAUACAGCCAACUUCUUACCACCCACACGCUCACCUCUGCCUCAGUCCUCAGGCCUGGAAAGGCCCUUUGAAUCUUCCUUUAUGCCUCUCCUGCAGAUCCAGGCACAAGUCCAACCCUCCACCAGCCUGAAUCCGUCUUUUCCUCCUCUGAAUUCCUAUGGCAUUUAUAGUUAGCACCCUACAAUUUACUGAACCACUUAAUUAUAUGCUCUCUGGCAUUGCUCAGUGAUUAUGUCUUGCUUUUAGUCUGGCCUCCUGAGUAGAUAUUGAAUCUCAGUGGGGCAGAAACUAUACUUUAUACAUGUUUAUUGUAUCCUCAAGAGCACCUACUAUUACUAAUGGCAGUCAGCACUUAGUGUAUACGACACACAGUACUUUAUGUAUGCUAUCUAUUUAAUACCACAAUAUCUCUAACAAGGCAUUAUCAUGCCUAUUUUUCAGAUGGAAAACCAAAGCUCAGGGAGUUUUACAUGGGCAGGCAGCUGGUGAGGGCUGAGACUGGAGCCAGGCCAGUGGUCUUCAAAGGCUUUAGUCAAACUUUUUGACAGAUAUAAGAAAACCGAACUAAGGAAAAUACUUUCCUGGGAUCAUCCCUAUAUGAAGUGGCAGACCUGGAAUUGCUCCCUGUUUCAAAACAUGUAAGCUCCUCAAGAACAGGAACUUUUGUCUGUUUGUUCAUUGUUGUAUCUCCAAUCCUUAGAACUAUGCCUGGCUCAAAGUAGGUGCUCAAUAAAAUAUCUGCUGAAUGAACAAAUGCAAUCUAAUCACCAAACUUACUCUGAACGCUCACCAAGUGUGAGGCACUGCUCUUAUGAGAAAAGUAAUGUAAGAGACAUUCUAGUUUGUUUGACUAAACCUCACUCACCACAGAAUACUCACAAAGGGCUGUCCAGAAACAGAAAUGUGAUAAAAGCCUGCAUCCCGAACUUGGUGCCAAAUUUGUACUUUUAGACUUGAGAGGGUAUGGAGCUUCCUAUUCCCUGCCUGUUCCUCUCCUUCAGUCCUCCCUCCAUGGAAAUAAUCAGCCACCACAGCCCAGGAAGAAAGGGAAGCAGUCCCAUACCCCAGGAGCAGGCUGGCCUGCGAUAUCACAUCAGACUCCUGGGAUUCCAGAGAGAAAGGAGUCCCUGAGGCCCUGCAAGUCCACCUACGGGGGCUGUAGAGCUGGAGACCUGGGGCCUGGAUAUUAAAAUAACACAUGCAUAUCCACAGGCAGGGGGCGUGGGCCCUGCUCCUUCUGUAGGUUCUUUUAAACAUUUAUCUUCAGAAGUCUUUAUUUGUGCUAAGUCACUUAGAUCAAAACAAAAACACUUAUUUUUGUGUUUGCUUAAACAACGUAGAUCGUUUCUUCAGUUAUCUCCUGGCUAUAUAUGUGGACACAUCUUAGAUCUAGAGACUAAGAAAAGUAUUUUCUUGCUGUCCUGUACUUUCUACACAUUUGUAACCUGUGUUCAUAACAAAGGUAAUCAAUUUCCCGACAAGUAGUUAUUCAAGCUAGGUGAGACAAAUAAAGGAGAUAAAGAAGUUGCACGAUUUAAACAAACAAAAGGAACAGUCAGCCACCAAACAAAGCCCACAGUUCCAAUGUAAUGAUUUGAAAUAGUUUUGAUCUUUUUUGGUAGGGGAUGGGGCCAGGUCAUAACCAUGUAAAAGUAAUGAAAACAAACCAAGACUGCGGGGCCCUAAUUACUGUCAAGUUGUCAUUUUCUCCAAUUGCCUUGAAGGUUUGUUUCUUUUUAAAAUUCAGUGUAACCUUACAGGAGGCAAUAAGGGCUGGCGAAACGCGGUGGCAGUGGAAACUAGCUGGGCGGAUGCAGCAACUUUGGGAAUAGUGGGAUGCAGGGGUGGAAGACAGGCUGAGGGCAAAGGGGCUGCCAGGGCUUCUGAGGAGGCUCCCAGGAGACUGAUAAGAUCCCGAGGGGAUCGGAGAAGUGCGAGGGUCCAGUUACAUGUGCAGGAAAGGUGAUGAACCCCAGGUUUUUAUACUUGUUCAUGAGGCGCCAGCCUCAUGCUUAGUUUGUUUCUGAAGCAUAUCACCCUCACUCUAACUCCUAUCUAGAAUAUUCUUCUCCCAGAUCUUCCCGUAGCUGGCUCAGCUUUCACGUCACCUCUUCAGAAAGGCCUCCCUGACCACCAACCUGAAGUCACAACCUAGUUAGUCUCUCGCCCCUUUUCCAUGCUUUUUUUUUUUUUUUUGCCUUCAUGGCUGUUGGCACUACCUGAACGUUUCUUGUUUGUCAGUAUAUGUCCUCUGCGCCCCCAUACCAUGGUGUAAGCCCCAGGAGAGCAGAAACUUCCUUUGUCUACCCGACAGGGCUGAAGCCUCAGAGUCUGGAUCAGUGUCAGGUACGGAGAAGGUGCUCUGGUGGAAACCUCAGUGGCAACGUUCAGCUCACAGUGGGAAACUCGGGCCUUCAGACCAGGGAAGGGGGCCGUUUGAAGAUAUGAGUCUGGAGUGUGACUGAUGAAGCCAAAAGCAGGCACAAACUCUCUUUUUAUGACCAACUUUGGAUAAUGAGCUCAAGCCAUGUAUAAAAACAUUCCCCAAAAGUGCUUUUCUAGAUGAAAGGGAGAAAAAUAGCUAAAGUGAUCCAUCUUCCUUUCUUUGAGGAAGGUUGGCACCGCUUCUGUUGCUUCCAGGAAGAUUGCAUACACAUGUAAAACCGGAAAAACGUUAAUGAAGAGAAAAACUAAAAGCUCCCGCCCCCACCCAGGCCUGCUCAGAAGAACCCAAGCCACUCAGAAGCAGGAGGCAGCCUUCACCCCAACCAGACCAAUAUCCGUUCCAGACUCAGGAUUACAACAAUCUGGGAGAGGGUCAACCAAGUCAGAGUCCCACAUGGCAGAAGAGCUGCUUUAGCUUAAGACUCUUAACUCUUUUUCUUCGGGGCAGGAAAGGUUUGAGCCAAUGAAGGAUGAGGCUUUCCAGGCCCAGGACACAACCUUGAUCCAAGGCCUAGUUGUGGCUUUAAUUUUUGUAAAUCAAGCCUCAAGUUUUUCUUCACUCUUUUAGCCAAAGAUAUGUUUCCCAGGAUGCAUGAAAUAAAUAAAUAAAAUGUACCAAAUUAGAGAUUGUGAGACAUGUAUGUCACUUAAAUCCUUUGUAGGCAA